Erythranthe guttata (spotted monkey flower) is the source of this 426-nucleotide non-coding RNA. The record is from RefSeq and is a predicted model, not a curated record. NCBI's taxonomy places the organism in Eukaryota, Viridiplantae, Streptophyta, Magnoliopsida, Lamiales, Phrymaceae.
GAUUGAACAAAGAGCCUUUUCAGGUAAAUUCUUCUACAACCAAGGAUUUUCGUAAUGAUUAUGGGACUACCGAGAAAAUCGUAGGUACUAGGAAGCUUAUUGGUGAAGAUAAAGCUCAUGAGCCGCCAAUGCCGGUUGAAGAUGAUUAUGUUACAUCUAUUAGCCAAAUUCUCUAACUUGGAUUGCUAAUACAACUGUUGGAGAAGCCACUUUUAGACAUGCAUUUCUCUUCGCUUUGCCACAAAAUUUGUAUCAUACAAUUUGAACCAUUUUGAAUUAUGUAUCUCUUUAUGAAAUAUAACUCCAAUUCUGCACUUGUUUAGAAUAUGAUAAUGUAUGAAAGACUUUUUGUAAUAUGCGAUGUUAUAAAUUAGUUUAUUCUAUUGUAAUAUCUCUUGGGAAUUAAUUAAAAUAAACAUAUGAAUA